Long non-coding RNA from Saccostrea cuccullata (small rock oyster), 564 nucleotides. RefSeq lists it as uncharacterized. The transcript has 5 exons. NCBI's taxonomy places the organism in Eukaryota, Metazoa, Mollusca, Bivalvia, Ostreida, Ostreidae. The record is from RefSeq and is a predicted model, not a curated record.
AUAUAAAUUUACUUUAUUUAACCAAAGCUAGUUUUUUAUGGAAGGCCAUACGUCACAAAUUACGUCAUCAUGCGGAUUAGAAACAGACUAGAAAGAGCAGGAUGUUUUCUGUAUUUGCAUGGCACUCCAUUAUACCACACUGAUGGCUUCUCCAAGAUUAUAGAUAUGAUACAUGUAAACAGGCACAGUUACUUGUCAUCACAAGGAUCAGAAUUCAAGUACCAGAGUAGUCUAACUCCUAAAUCAUCCCGAUUUGUCAAAAGUACAUAGAGCUGUAGCUGAUGGACACAAAUUGUUCAGAAAAAAUCCAGUUACCACACUAAUCACAGCCAUAGAUUUCUGGCGUGCCUUCAGAAGGAACAUAGAUGCAAUGAUGAAUUAUUAUCUCCAGACAUAUGGGUGGCCCUUGAACAGAGAAUUGUCAAAAAUUGAAGCAUUCAAUAAAGAAGAUUAAGAAACAGAAUGUGUCCAGUUGUUUGUUCAUCAAAAGAAUAACUUGGAUAAUCAUAGUGGUGCUUCCUCAAAAUCUGCAUGUGUUCAAAUAAAGCAGUUUCAAAUUAAGAU